Molecule: long non-coding RNA, 2043 nt
Organism: Cheilinus undulatus (humphead wrasse)
Lineage: Eukaryota; Metazoa; Chordata; Actinopteri; Labriformes; Labridae
Exons: 3
Source: RefSeq, a predicted model, not a curated record
CUCAACCACACCUUAGCAGCCUCAUCCUGAGCCGACAGCCGAGGCAAUGCUGUACAGUCAACAGCAUGUACCCAAAUACCUGUUACGGGCUGCAAAACCUGCAGAGCAAACAGAAGAAGUAACUGAAACUGCCACAGUUUCUCACGGUGGCACCAACAAUGCUUCUAAGUAAAGAAAGGGAAAAGAAGGAAAUGUGCUACUUAAGCACAGGAAAAGUUGGAACAUUAUGUUUUGUUGCUACCUGGUGAAUGGAGGUGCACCUGUCAGACAUGACCAUGUGAUGGCAGCGUAGUAUCAUCAGCACAGCCCACGGACUGAAACUCACCAGCACUUGUCAUUUUCAAGUUAGCAAAUACACUAAAAUACUGUAUAAGCCCACUUCUAUGUACUGAAGCACUCUUUUUUAAAUUCUAAGCAAUUGUUCCAAACUUUCUUUCAUCAUUGGAUUGAACAAAAAGGCUGUUAAUCUCGAUUAAUGAAUCCAGACUGCAGUCACUACAUUGUUCUCCUGUGAAUGUUUGUCUUUUGUCAUUAGUUUAACAAAUACUCUGCGGAGAGACAAGUAGUGUUGAAAUGAAUCACAAAAACUUAAUCUUUGCAUUAAUUUUAUUGUUUUUUAUAAAGCAAAGCAGAAAUCCAUUUAAAACCACCACAAUUCAAAACUCGUAUCCUAUAUAUGAAUUUAAUAAAGAACAAUUCAUUUAUUUUUCUUAUGCAACAUUGCUGCCUUAUAAGAGACUUUACAGAAGUGAAAUAUAUUUUGUAGAUCCUGAUUGAACUAAAUCAUUUAAAAUGCAGAAAAUAUACACCUUACAAUGGUCAAUUGUUAGAAGUGAGCCUUAAUUUCAGCAUCACAGAAAUACAACUCUGGUUCGCAGAAUUAAAGUGCAAAGCUCAAAACACAAGGUUCAUUUGAUCUCACAAUAACUUGUUGAUAAACUGUAGAAUAAAUGUAGUGAAAUAUAUAUACUCUAAAAUAGGGAAGAGUAGAAGCAUAAAGUUAUGAACAACAGAAUCAAGUAAAGAUAAACUUCCUUAAAAUUUUACUUAAUUAUGGAAGCUGAGUAAAUAUCCUUUAAAAAAAUUAGAUCAUAUUCCUUUUUUUUGCCUUUCCAAAAGGUGGUAGUAAUUAACAAACUUAGAAAUUAUGGCAAUAGACAGACAUAAAUGUGGAAAACAAAUAUGUAGUUUAAGUUAUUUUUAUGCAAGUAUCAGUUUUGUAUUUUUCCUGCAAAAAGAUAAGGAAUCUAUUCAGAACAUAACUGAUUUUUUUAGAAUAAAGUUGUGUACACCUUUUGACAUUGGCAUGCUAAAUAUUAAUGACUGAUUCAAAAUGUUAUUCCAUUGUUUUUAAAACCAAAUACAAAAACAAAAUAAAAAAUGUACAUGCAGACGUUAUAGCAAAAUCCAGAAGUCAUUCUCUGUUUAAAGCUCAUCACUUAUAAACUCAGAAAAACCUUGACUUGUUCAGUUUUUAUUAACUUCUGUUAGUCACGCUGGACGACUUAAAAUAUGAAACGUUAGGUAUCAACUUCAAAUGUGACUUUAUUUAGUGUAGAUUAAUAACCUUUUGGGAUAUGUAAAGAAAAUUAUUGCAUCUCAGACUCUUGUAUUGCACUGUUGUUUAUUUGGUGAAAGUAAUUUUGAUUUAUUUAUUGUUUGUAUGCCCAUUUUGCUCUUUUUUAUACAUUACUAAUAAAUUUCAGUUUCAACCUGUCCACCAUAUAUUUCCACAGAGUGACACAACAGCAAAAACAGUAAUAUUCCUGCCCCAGUUACAGUGUAGUCUUCUGUCCGUUAGCCAUUUAGGUUACAAAUAUGAGGUAGGAUAGAAAAUGUGAGAUGUUCAGGUCCUGUGUCUGACAGUGGGGCUGACCUCAAAGCAGUUAAGACUGCUUCUGUCAGUCUCAAAGCAAUAUGGCCCACUUACAAACUCAUCCACCUAAGAUGCUGCUUCUUCCACCUCUCUGAUCAUUGGGCAAGGGAUGCUGCCAUCUUUAAUAACCACUCUGGUAUUGUCUUCCAACUGAUGAUAGAAGAAGA